GCUCCGAUGGCUUAAUUGUUAGAGCGUCCGCCACAGAUGCGGGAGUUUGUGGGUUCAAUCCCCGGUCGAAUCA
Potamilus streckersoni is the source of this 73-nucleotide non-coding RNA. The record is from the annotation of a GenBank genome assembly. NCBI's taxonomy places the organism in Eukaryota, Metazoa, Mollusca, Bivalvia, Unionida, Unionidae.